RNAcentral lists this ribosomal RNA (301 nucleotides) under uncultured Glomeromycotina. RNAcentral describes it as "partial 26S ribosomal RNA". It matches the Rfam family "Eukaryotic large subunit ribosomal RNA", at positions 294 to 581 of the family's 3401-position model. Lineage: Eukaryota; Fungi; Glomeromycota. The record is from RNAcentral.
GGGAGGUAAAUUUCUCCUAAGGCUAAAUAUCGGCGAGAGACCGAUAGCGAACAAGUACCGUGAGGGAAAGAUGAAAAGAACUUUGAAAAGAGAGUAAAAUAGUACGUGAAAUUGUUGAAAGGGAAACGAUUGAAGUCAGUCGUACCGACGGAAAAUCAGCUCUUCGAGUGCGAACUUGUGGGCGUACGUGAGCUUUAACCGGCCUCGUUGUUUGCGAUGUUUGUGCUUUUUGGGUGUACUUUUUCGUAUGGUUGGCCAACGUCAGUCUCGGUUACCAUAAAAUGAUUGGAGGAAUGUAGCU